Molecule: long non-coding RNA, 311 nt
Organism: Gambusia affinis (western mosquitofish)
Lineage: Eukaryota; Metazoa; Chordata; Actinopteri; Cyprinodontiformes; Poeciliidae
Exons: 4
Source: RefSeq, a predicted model, not a curated record
GAAGAAAACCUAUGAACUGCAUCUCAUAAAGGGCAGCUGGACCAGCGAAUUCAGGAAAGGAAAAUAUGAAAGGUCUGUUCUGGGUGACUGUGGUCUUCUUCCUGUCUGCUGAAAACACUUUGGCUACUAUGGACCAGAAAUGGCUCGCAGAUAUUGUGCAAACCAUCAAGAAUAAGUAUCAGCUGGGUGACACUUCCAGUUGGGCUGUAAAUAUACCACAGAACCAAGAUCCAAGCCAUCUGAUGGAGGUUCUGCAGGAAGACCCACCAGAUGCAGUGAAAAUAGCAGUUUCAAAGGGUGACGUGUAUCAA